UACGUAGGGUGCAAGCGUUGUUCGGAUUUACUGGGCGUAAAGGGCGCGUAGGCGGCUUGACAAGUCACUUGUGAAAUCUCCGGGCUUAACUCGGAACGGCCAAGUGAAACUGUCAUGCUAGAGUGCAGAAGGGGCAAUCGGAAUUCUUGGUGUAGCGGUGAAAUGCGUAGAUAUCAAGAGGAACACCUGAGGUGAAGACGGGUUGCUGGGCUGACACUGACGCUGAGGCGCGAAAGCCAGGGGAGCAAACGGG
RNAcentral lists this ribosomal RNA (253 nucleotides) under uncultured bacterium. RNAcentral's name for it is "partial 16S ribosomal RNA". It matches the Rfam family "Bacterial small subunit ribosomal RNA", at positions 524 to 776 of the family's 1533-position model. The record is from RNAcentral.